Molecule: ribosomal RNA, 464 nt
Filed under: Promyrmekiaphila sp. SLRa
Lineage: Eukaryota; Metazoa; Arthropoda; Arachnida; Araneae; Euctenizidae
Description: partial 16S ribosomal RNA
Rfam family: Bacterial large subunit ribosomal RNA
Source: RNAcentral
UCGCCUGUUUAUCAAAAACAUUUCUAAAUGAUCUUUAUUUUUAGUAAUUCCUGCUCAAUGACCCUUUAAAUUGCCGCAUUCAAUGUGCUAAGGUAGCAAAAUCAUUUGCCUUUUAAUUGCAGGCUAGCAUGAAUGGAUACUCAUGUAGAUUUCUUUAUUAACCUUAUUUCUUCAAUUUUUCUUAUAAGUAAAAAGACUUAUAUUUAUAAGAGGGACGACAAGACCCUAUCGAGCUUUACUUAUGUUGAACUGGGGCGGUAAAAAACCAAAUCUUUCUUUCUUUUUAUUAAACAUUCUUUUCUGUAAAAUUUUCAAGUUACCGUAGGGAUAACAGCAUUAUUUUCUUUUAAAGUUCUUAUUGAAAAGAAAGUUUUUGACCUCGAUGUUGAAUUAUUAAUCUUUUUAAAGCAAAUUUUAAAAAAGAAAGUCUGUUCGACUUUUAAAACUUUACGUGAUCUGAGUUC